GAUGAACGCUGGCGGCGUGCCUAACACAUGCAAGUCGAGCGUGAUUUAUGAGGACGAAACUUCGGUCUAGGAAUCAUAAUGAAAGCGGCGGACGGGUGAGUAACGCGUAGGCAACCUACCCUUGACACAGGGAUAGCCUCGGGAAACCGGGAUUAAAACCUGAUGACGCCAAACAGUCACAUGGCUGUUUGGCCAAAGAUUCAUCGGUCAAGGAUGGGCCUGCGUCUGAUUAGUUAGUUGGUGGGGUAACGACCUACCAAGACGACGAUCAGUAGCCGACCUGAGAGGGUGAUCGGCCACAUUGGAACUGAGACACGGUCCAAACUCCUACGGGAGGCAGCAGUGGGGAAUAUUGCACAAUGGGCGAAAGCCUGAUGCAGCAACGCCGCGUGAGCGAUGAAGGCCUUUGGGUCGUAAAGCUCUGUCCUUGGGGAAGAAACAAAUGACGGUACCCAAGGAGGAAGCCCCGGCUAACUACGUGCCAGCCGCCGCCGUAA
Molecule: ribosomal RNA, 497 nt
Filed under: uncultured bacterium
Lineage: Bacteria
Description: partial 16S ribosomal RNA
Rfam family: Bacterial small subunit ribosomal RNA
Source: RNAcentral